This 24-nucleotide non-coding RNA is filed under the name Drosophila melanogaster (fruit fly). Lineage: Eukaryota; Metazoa; Arthropoda; Insecta; Diptera; Drosophilidae. The record is from RNAcentral.
CAGCCGAGUGGAAGUGCCCACGAG